UGGAUCCUAAGAAAUUCUCUAAA
Molecule: transfer RNA, 23 nt
Filed under: Bryophryne cophites (Cuzco Andes frog)
Lineage: Eukaryota; Metazoa; Chordata; Amphibia; Anura; Craugastoridae
Description: partial tRNA-Phe
Source: RNAcentral